RNAcentral lists this ribosomal RNA (253 nucleotides) under uncultured bacterium. Its description in RNAcentral is "partial 16S ribosomal RNA". It matches the Rfam family "Bacterial small subunit ribosomal RNA", at positions 524 to 776 of the family's 1533-position model. The record is from RNAcentral.
UACGUAGGUGACCAGCGUUGUCCGGAUUUACUGGGCGUAAAGAGCGCGCAGGCGGUCUUGUAAGUCGAGUGUGAAAGCCCCUGGCUCAACCAGGGAGGGUCAUUCGAUACUGCUUGACUCGAAGGCAGGAGAGGGAAGUGGAAUUCCGGGUGUAGUGGUGAAAUGCGUAGAUAUCCGGAGGAACACCAGUGGCGAAGGCGACUUUCUGGCCUGUUCUUGACGCUGAGGCGCGAAAGCUAGGGGAGCAAACGGG